RNAcentral lists this ribosomal RNA (354 nucleotides) under Triticum aestivum (bread wheat). RNAcentral's name for it is "partial small subunit ribosomal RNA". The record is from RNAcentral. Lineage: Eukaryota; Viridiplantae; Streptophyta; Magnoliopsida; Poales; Poaceae.
AUGACGCCGACGAGCUCCUCCUCCUUGCCCAUGGAAAGCAACCUCGUCCUCGUCCCGGAAUACCCCUCACCCUCAGCCCCUCUGACGCAGCACCAAGCGAAAAUGGUGCAACUUGAGAAAGAAGAGGACCCCUCGGUCCACGACGAAUCCAUGGUGGAUGACAACGAGGACUGCGUGGAGAGGAUGACGGUUCAGAGGAAGAAGAAUUGCAGCAGGCUGGACCUUCAAAGAAGGCCGUGUACAACAAGGUGGGGCUCCUUGAGAAGCUCAAGGACAUGGCCUGGCCAGAGAAUGUUGUGGACUGGACGCACGAGCUCGCCGUCGGUCACGACCAGGGGGAGAAGGUCGACGUGA